UACGUAGGCAGCGAGCGUUGUUCGGGGUUACUGGGCGUAAAGAGUGCGUAGGCGGUUUUCUAAGUUUGGUGUGAAAUCUCCCGGCUCAACUGGGAGGGUGCGCCGAAGACUGGAAGGCUUGAGUAUGGGAGAGGUAAGCGGAAUUCCUGGUGUAGCGGUGAAAUGCGUAGAUAUCAGGAGGAACACCUGCGGUGUAGACGGCUUACUGGACCAUAACUGACGCUGAGGCACGAAGGCUAGGGGAGCAAACAGG
This 253-nucleotide ribosomal RNA is filed under the name uncultured bacterium. Its description in RNAcentral is "partial 16S ribosomal RNA". It matches the Rfam family "Bacterial small subunit ribosomal RNA", at positions 524 to 776 of the family's 1533-position model. The record is from RNAcentral.